AUGGCGACGUCGUCCCCGGCGCCGCCCCGCGUGUGCGUCACCGGCGGCAACGGGUUCAUAGGCUCGUGGCUCGUCAAGCUGCUCCUCUCCCGCGGCUACGCCGUCCACGCCACCGUCCGCGACCCACGUGAUCCGAAGAACGCGUUCCUGACGGAGCUGGACGGAGCCCCGGCGAACCUGCGGCUGUUCAAGGCGGACAUGCUCGACUGCGACACGGUCGCGGCCGCGUUCGCCGGCUGCGAGGGCGUCUUCCAUGUCGCCACUCCAGUGCCCGACCAAAAGAUGGUUGAUCCACAGAAAGAGAUGAUGGAACCUGCUGUCAAGGGCACCAUGAAUGUGCUCAAGGCCUGCUCAGCUACGAAAGUUCAUAAACUCAUUGUGGUCUCGUCCAUCGCCACUAAUAUCUUCAACCCGGACUGGCCUCGAGAUAAAAUCAAAGACGAGAGCUGCUGGUCAGACAAGGAGUUCUGCAGACAGACUGAGAACUGGUACUCUCUUGCAAAGACUGAAGCCGAGGAGAUGGCCCUGGAAUACGGAGAGAAGAACGGGCUGCACGUCGUCGCACUUUGCCCUGGUCUGGUCUUCGGCCCUCUGUUGCAGCAUGUGGCGGUUAAUACCAGCAGCAAGGUCCUCGUCUACAUGAUAAAAGAUUCCACUCCUCAGCUCAUCUAUCACAAGGAUACAUAA
This 687-nucleotide ribosomal RNA is filed under the name Triticum aestivum (bread wheat). RNAcentral's name for it is "partial small subunit ribosomal RNA". Lineage: Eukaryota; Viridiplantae; Streptophyta; Magnoliopsida; Poales; Poaceae. The record is from RNAcentral.